GACGAACGCUGGCGGCGUGCCUAAUACAUGCAAGUCGAACGAGAGCGACCGGUGCUUGCACUGGUCAAUCUAGUGGCGAACGGGUGAGUAACACGUGGGUAACCUGCCCAUCAGAGGGGGAUAACAUCCGGAAACGGAUGCUAGAACCGCAUAGGUCUUCGAGCCGCAUGGCUUGAAGAGGAAAAGAGGCGCAAGCUUCUGCUGAUGGAUGGACCCGCGGUGCAUUAGCUAGUUGGUGAGGUAACGGCUCACCAAGGCCGUGAUGCAUAGCCGACCUGAGAGGGUGAUCGGCCACAUUGGGACUGAGACACGGCCCAAACUCCUACGGGAGGCAGCAGUAGGGAAUCUUCCGCAAUGGACGCAAGUCGGACGGAGCAACGCCGCGUGAGUGAAGAAGGUUUUCGGAUCGUAAAACUCUGUUGUUAGAGAAGAACAAGUGCUAGAGUAACUGUUAGCGCCUUGACGGUAUCUAACCAGAAAGCCACGGCUAACUACGUG
Molecule: ribosomal RNA, 498 nt
Filed under: uncultured bacterium
Lineage: Bacteria
Description: partial 16S ribosomal RNA
Rfam family: Bacterial small subunit ribosomal RNA
Source: RNAcentral